GAAAUGCGAUAAGUAAUGUGAAUUGCAGAAUUCAGUGAAUCAUCGAAUCUUUGAACGCACAUUGCGCCUAUUAGUAUUCUAGUAGGCAUGCCUGUUUGAGUAUCAUGAAAUCUUCAAAGUAAAUCUUUUGUUAACUCAAUUGGUUUCUACUUUGGUAUUGGAGGUCUUUGCAGCUUCACACCUGCUCCUCUUUGUUCAUUAGCUGGAUCUCAGUGUUAUGCUUGGUUCCACUCGGCGUGAUAAGUUAUCUAUCGCUGAGGACACUGUAAAAGGUGGCCAAGGUAAAUGCAGAUGAACCGCUUCUAAUAGUCCAUUGACUUGGACAAUACUUUUAUGAUCUGAUCUCAAAUCAGGUAGGACUACCCGCUGAACUUAAGC
RNAcentral lists this unclassified non-coding RNA (378 nucleotides) under plant metagenome. RNAcentral describes it as "partial contains 5.8S ribosomal RNA, internal transcribed spacer 2, and large subunit ribosomal RNA". The stretch from base 1 to 105 matches the Rfam family "5.8S ribosomal RNA", at positions 50 to 154 of the family's 154-position model. The record is from RNAcentral.